RNAcentral lists this ribosomal RNA (491 nucleotides) under uncultured Sphingobacteriales bacterium. Its description in RNAcentral is "bacterial SSU rRNA". It matches the Rfam family "Bacterial small subunit ribosomal RNA", at positions 888 to 1382 of the family's 1533-position model. The record is from RNAcentral. Lineage: Bacteria; Pseudomonadati; Bacteroidota; Sphingobacteriia; Sphingobacteriales.
CCCGCUCAGAAACUCAAAUGAAGUGACGGGGGCCCGCACAAGCGGUGGAGCAUGUGGUUUAAUUCGAUGAUACGCAGGAACCUUACCUGGGCUCAAAUGUAUGUUGACGUAUUCUGAAAGGGAUACUUCUUCGGACAAUAUACAAGGUGCUGCAUGGUUGUCGUCAGCUCGUGCCGUGAGGUGUCGGGUUAAGUCCCAUAACGAGCGCAACCCCUAUCAUUAGUUGCCAUCAGGUCAAGCUGGGGACUCUAAUGAAACUGCCUACGCAAGUAGUGAGGAAGGUGGGGAUGACGUCAAAUCAGCACGGCCCUUACGUCCAGGGCUACACACGUGCUACAAUGGCCGGUACAAAGGGCAGCUACCUGGUGACAGGAUGCUAAUCUCAAAAAGCCGGUCUCAGUUCGGAUCGGAGUCUGCAACCCGACUCCAUGAAGUUGGAAUCGCUAGUAAUCGCGCAUCAGCAUGGCGCGGUGAAUACGUUCCCGGGCCUU